CCUACGGGCGGCAGCAGUGAGGAAUAUUGGUCAAUGGGCUUACGCCUGAACCAGCCAAGUCGCGUGAGGGAAGACUGCCCUAUGGGUUGUAAACCUCUUUUGUCAGGGAGCAACGCCGGCUACGUGUAGCCGGACUGAGAGUACCUGAAGAAAACGCAUCGGCUAACCCCGUGCCAGCAGCCGCGGUAAUACGGAGGAUGCGAGCGUUAUCCGGAUUUUUUGGGUUUAAAGGGUGCGUAGGCGGAAUGUCAAGUCAGCGGUAAAAUCGGGGGGCUCAACCUCGCCCCGCCGUUGAAACUGGGGUUCUUGAGUGGGCGAGAGGUAUGCGGAAUGCGUGGUGUAGCGGUGAAAGGCAUAGAUAUCACGCAGAACUCCGAUUGCGAAGGCAGCAUACCGGCGCCCAACUGACGCUGAGGCACGAAAGCGUGGGUAUCGAACAGGAUUAGAUACCCGAGUAGUC
RNAcentral lists this ribosomal RNA (460 nucleotides) under uncultured bacterium. RNAcentral's name for it is "partial 16S ribosomal RNA". It matches the Rfam family "Bacterial small subunit ribosomal RNA", at positions 338 to 795 of the family's 1533-position model. The record is from RNAcentral.